Molecule: ribosomal RNA, 406 nt
Filed under: uncultured bacterium
Lineage: Bacteria
Description: partial 16S ribosomal RNA
Rfam family: Bacterial small subunit ribosomal RNA
Source: RNAcentral
AUUGAACGCUGGCGGCAGGCCUAAAACAUGAAAGUAGAGCGAGCGGCGGACGGGUGAGUAAUAUAUUGGAAACUGCCUGAUGGAGGGGGAGCACUAAUGGAAACGGUAGCUAAUAACGCAUACCAUCAAAUGUUCCCCACUGGGAGUAGCGAGUAGGUGGGGUAACGGCUCACCUAGGAGACGAGCCCUAGCUGGUCUGAGAGGAUUACCAGCCACACUGGAACUGAGACACGGUCCAGACUCCUACGGGAGGCAGCAGUGGGGAAUAUUGCACAAUGGGCGCAAGCCUGAUGCAGCCAGGCCGCGUGUGUGAAGAAGGCCUUCGGGUUGUAAAGCACUUUCAGCGGGGAGGCGUUACCCGCAGAAGAAGCACCGGCUAACUCCGUGCCAGCAGCCGCGGUAAUAC